UACGAAGGGGGCUAGCGUUGCUCGGAAUCACUGGGCGUAAAGCGCACGUAGGCGGACUCUUAAGUCAGGGGUGAGAUCCUGGAGCUCAACUCCAGAACUGCCUUUGAUACUGGGAGUCUUGAGUCCGGAAGAGGUAAGUGGAACUGCGAGUGUAGAGGUGAAAUUCGUAGAUAUCGGGAGGAAUACCAGUGGCGAAGGCGGCGACCUGGGCCAAUACUGACGCUGAGGUGCGAAAGCGUGGGGAGCAAACAGG
Molecule: ribosomal RNA, 253 nt
Filed under: uncultured bacterium
Lineage: Bacteria
Description: partial 16S ribosomal RNA
Rfam family: Bacterial small subunit ribosomal RNA
Source: RNAcentral